AGAUGGAGGAGCUGAUGGCGA
Molecule: unclassified non-coding RNA, 21 nt
Filed under: Chlamydomonas reinhardtii
Lineage: Eukaryota; Viridiplantae; Chlorophyta; Chlorophyceae; Chlamydomonadales; Chlamydomonadaceae
Description: small RNA Cre_0440
Source: RNAcentral